This 152-nucleotide small nuclear RNA is filed under the name Canis lupus familiaris (dog). Its description in RNAcentral is "U2 spliceosomal RNA (multiple genes)". The stretch from base 1 to 95 matches the Rfam family "U2 spliceosomal RNA". From Rfam's summary of the family: U2 is a small nuclear RNA (snRNA) component of the spliceosome (involved in pre-mRNA splicing). Complementary binding between U2 snRNA (in an area lying towards the 5' end but 3' to hairpin I) and the branchpoint sequence (BPS) of the intron results the bulging out of an unpaired adenosine, on the BPS, which initiates a nucleophilic attack at the intronic 5' splice site, thus starting the first of two transesterification reactions that mediate splicing. Lineage: Eukaryota; Metazoa; Chordata; Mammalia; Carnivora; Canidae. RNAcentral also lists the same sequence under 1 other name. The record is from Rfam by way of RNAcentral.
AUUGCUUCUUGGUCUUUUGGCUAAGAUCAAGUGUAGUAUCUGUUCCUAUCAGGUUAAUACAUAGUGCAAUAUUGGUUUCAGGAGUAGAAGCCAGUGAUUCAGGGAAACCUGGGUGGCUCAGGAGUUGAACAUCUGCCUUUGGCUCAAGUGGU